GGUGUUGUGAGUAGAGAAUGUGAUGAGAUGUGGGAAACUUCCCAGCUCCUUCUAGCAUGCUAGCCUGGAGCCUAUGCAAUGUUAGUUUUCCUGGAUUGUUUGUUUGUUUUUCUUUAUCCGGACCAAACUUUAGUGCUGAGGUAAGGGGACCAAGACCUCCAAGGGCAUAGAAGCCUUUUCAGAGAAAGAAGUCACUCACUACUGCCUGACUUCAAGUCUCUUCCCCGGGGUGUGCAGCCCACUAACAGGACUAUUCAGCGCCAUCCCCAUGGGGAAUCAUAAGUCACCGAAACAUCGUCUACGUGGCUGCUGUGCCCGAACUAUCCUUAAGGAGCACAUUUCUGUUAUGAGAUAGUAGAUGUCUGCCAGAAACUCCCAAGCACCAGACAAGUCUAAAUGUCCCACAGAAAGUCAUGGCUUACUCAUGGCUGGGUGGGUACGCACAAGCACUGUGUGCACACACAUACUGUGUGUAGGUGAGUGAGCCGUACCUGUGGAGACCAGAAGACAACUUGUGGAGGUUGGUCUCUUCCUUCCUUCUCUACCUGAGAUGCGGUGACUAAACUCAAGGUGUCAGGCUUGAGCUGCAGUCGCCUUUACCUGCUCAGACAUCUUACAUUCCCCAUUUAGUCUCCUCACAGAUAAUUAGGUACAGUUCUCGUGGCACAGUUAUGUUUUGCCAAAGCAUAUCCAUGUAAAGUCACAACCAGAAAUAAGACACGAUAUAGUUUUGUUACUCCCUAAACUCUCGUGCUCUCGUGUGUGUGUGUGUGUGUGUGUAUGUGUGUGUGUGUUAGUGAUGUAUGCAUGCAGACGCACACACCAGACCUGGUAUUAAUGUUUACUGCUUUCUUCUAUGGCAAGGUUCUCAACCUCCCUAAUGCUUCAGCCCUUUCGUACAGUUCCUCGGGUUGUGGAGACCCCGCCCCCAACUAUGAAAUCAUUUUGUUGCUACUUCAUAACUGUAAUUUUGCUACCGUUAUGAAUUACAAUGUGAAUAUCGGAGACACGGGACAUCUGAUCUGCAAUCCCUGUGGGGGCCAUGCCCCACAGGUUGGUCUCUCUGCUUUCCCUUCUUGUUAUUUUGAGACAGGGUCUCUCACUGAACCUGGAGCUUGCCAUUUGGCUUGGCUGAGUGGUCACCUAUCCCCAGGAUCUGCCCAUGUCUGCUGUGCUCCCCCAAUGCUGGAGUUACAGACACACAUGGCUGUGCCUGGCCUUUUACAAGUGUCCUGGGGAUAUGAGCUCAUGUCCCCUUGCUUGAGCAACACUUUACCCACUGACCCUCUCCCAGCCCGCUGUUACCCUUCUCUCCCUUCCUCUCCUCUAGCAACCACAGGUCUAUUUUUUCACAAUUAUCUUAAUUUUUUUUCCCAGAAAAUCAUAGAAACAGAAUUUUGUGUAAUACAUGGGACUAUGUGUUCUAACUCUGCAGUGGGAACAGUAAAACAUAGGGAAUUAUUGAAUUUCUUUUAGAAGCAAUAAAAUUGAAGCAGCUGCAAAAUACUUACAGAACUAUGAAAGUGCUGUGGAAUUUAUGUAGAAGCACAGUGCCACUUUCUAGGUGAGGACAUGGGUGGACAGAUUUGGGAAAUCUGAAACCCACAGAGAGUACGGCUUACUUUCCUGCCAUCACAGACAGACCUGUACAUUGGUGAUUGACUCCUAUGUGGGGGAAUCAUACAUAGAUUUUGUAUUUUAACACUCACUUAAAAUGUUAAAAGGAAUGAACAGAAGACAAAAUCCUUUUUACCACUCAAAUUCAAUUAUUGAUGCAUUUUUUAAUACUUCAUUCAGUGGUUUAGCCUUGAGUAUGUUUUCCUUGGUAGUAAGUGCAGGUUACAUAAUUUUUAUAUCUUUACUUGAAUCUAUACUAAAUGAUAAGUACAUUUCACACUAUACUCAAUUUUAAAAACAAAAUUACUAUAUUUUGCAAGCAGAUAAAUGCCUGCCUAACAGUUUUUGUUUGGAUUAUUAUUUCAUCACUCUCCAUUUUUCUUUUAUAAUUAAUAUUGAAAUAGUUAAGUCCAUGAGUAUAAAUUCAUUUUUAUUAUUAUCCCCUUGUGAUAGAUUAGAAUUAAGACUACAAGAUUGAAAUAAUUCAGAUUUUCGUGGAUCUGAACGAGCCACUUUGUAAAAUCCUGCAUCGCUUUGUAUUUCUCUUAUCAAGGCAAUUCUUCACACAUUUCUUUCUUGGUAAUUGCUGCAUGUUACUGCUAUUUCAAUUUUUUUUCUUCAAUGUAAUAGAUAUAUAAGCCACCAUGUGGUUGCUGGGAAUUGAACUCAGGACCUUUGAAAGAACAGCCAGUGCUCUUAACCACUGAGCCGUCUCUCCAGCCCCAAACUUUCUUAUUUUCAUCUGAGUGCCAGCCAGUGUUCAUCUCUCUCUGCCUCAUGAUUACAGACCUGAUGUGAGCAGCUGACUCUGGUCCUGCUGCUUUGCUUUCUCCAUCUUGAUGGGCUGGUCCCUGACUGCGAGCCAGAAUAAACCCCUCCCUUCCUUAAGCUGCUUUCUCAGGACUCUGUCACAGCUGGGAUAAAAGUAACACAACAAACCACAGAACUUUUGUUUUUGUUUUUAUUCAGACAGGGUUUCUUUGUGUAGCCUUGGCUGUCCUGGAACUCACCAUGUGGACCAGACUGACCUCUAAUUCAACGAAAUCCGCCUGCCUCUGCCUCCCUAGUGCUGGAAUUAAAGGCAUGUGCCACCACGCCUGUUGCAAGAACCCUUUAUAACCAAAACUUGCCUCAAGCAGUUGUUACAUCAUUGUGAUUUUGAUGCCAAUUUGAAUGAAUUUCUUCUUUAUCCUGGGCUGCUGCCUGUGCCUGGACCGUCCACUGCCCGACCAUACUGGCCCUUGGUGGUUGGAGUUGGGGUGGUGCAGAAUCAAUGACUCUGGUGGAGAAGGUGAGAGCGAAGCAGCAAGCUCCUCUGAGCACGGCUGCAAGCAUCUUUAAUACCCUCCACCCACACACCAUUGGUCCCAAGAAAGCAUCUCUUCUAAACAGCAGUUCCAGAUUGGCUGGCAAUGCCUGCGUCAGCAAUCCUCAGUCUCUCAGGCAGUCCUCAAUUAGGUCCUCCUUCAGGAGAUCCGUUUGAGGCUGUGCCCCACACUCUCCCCCUCCCCGUUUAUGUAGAGGCAGCUGCACAGUUCCUCCUACACUGGGCUACUUUGCAAAGGACGGAGAAAAAUCAUAUUCUAUGUUACUAAGUAUUGUAUAUUAUUCUCUGCAACAUAAUUUAAAUCACGUAGAAAGUACAUGAAAACUACGACCAUCUUUAACUUAAUAUUUGAAUUUUUCUCCUUACUGCAAUUAUCUUCUGUAUGAUAGUGUUUGGUGGCACAAAGCCCAGUGCCUUCAUCACAGCUAAAUUCGGUUCAUUUUUGCGGCCAUAAACCCUGCUGGUUUGAGUGAACGACAAUCUUUAUUCAAAUCAUAUUCAUAAAUCUGAAAGCUCGUUUUAUUCAUUUUUGUAACGGCAUUUAAAUUUAAUGCAUUUCUACAUGUGACUUGUUUUGAAUUUAAUUACAGAGCCAAAAUGCCACAUAUAAUUACAGAUGUAACAGGCACUCAGUUCUCUACCCAGACAACAUUACCCACGUAAUCUCUUAUGAGCCUUCUCUUCCUGCCAUUGGACCAAUACUGACAAAGUAUCAAAAUAGCAACUGCUAAGACAUCAUGCUUUAGUGCCCAGCUCACCUCUUGCUCCUCAUUUACGCCAGAGCUAUGUGCUGCUGCUAUUUAACACAGUUCAGGAAAUUUCACAAAACUAAUCUUCUUGGGAUGGACCUUUGAUCAAAGACAGACAAAUCUCAACCCAGGGGUCAUCUGAAAUUGAGUAGUAAUAAGACAUGUUUUCCUUUGUCAUGAGUUAAAUCUCUUUUUUUUUUAAAAUUAGGUAUUUUCCUCAUUUACAUUUUCAAUGCUAUCCCAAAGGUCCCCCAUACCCACCCCCCAAUCCCCUACCCACCCACUCCCCCUUUUUGGCCCUGGCGUUCCCCUGUACUGGGGCAUAUAAAGUUUGCAAGUCCAAUGGGCCUCUCUUUGCAGUGAUGGCUGACUAGGCCAUCUUUUGAUACAUAUGCAGCUAAAGACAAGAGCUCCCGGGUACUGGUUAGUUCAUAUUGUUGUUCCACCUAUAGGGUUGCAGUUCCCUAUAGCUCCUUGGGUAAUUUCUCAGCUCCUCCAUUAGGGGCUGUGUGACCCAUCCAGUAGCUGACUGUGAUCAUCCACUUCUGUGUUUGCUAGGCCCCGGAUGAGUUAAAUCUCUAAUGCACAUUUUAUACUCCAGAGAAAAAAGAUUCUACAGACUGGGAGCAUAAUUAUUUAUUUCAUGUGUUCAUGCUUGUGAACAAAGAUU
RNAcentral lists this long non-coding RNA (4363 nucleotides) under Mus musculus (house mouse). RNAcentral describes it as "long non-coding RNA chr12:56569319-56573682". The record is from RNAcentral. Lineage: Eukaryota; Metazoa; Chordata; Mammalia; Rodentia; Muridae.